This 802-nucleotide ribosomal RNA is filed under the name uncultured Nitrososphaerota archaeon. RNAcentral's name for it is "bacterial SSU rRNA". It matches the Rfam family "Archaeal small subunit ribosomal RNA", at positions 51 to 859 of the family's 1478-position model. The record is from RNAcentral. Lineage: Archaea; Thermoproteati; Nitrososphaerota.
AUGCGAGUCAUUGUAGCAAUACAAGGCAGACGGCUCAGUAACGCGUAGUCAAUCUACCCUAUGGACGGGAAUAACCUCGGGAAACUGAGAAUAAUGCCCGAUAGAACAUUAUGCCUGGAAUGGUUUAUGUUUCAAAUGAUUUAUCGCCAUAGGAUGGGACUGCGGCCUAUCAGUUUGUUGGUGAGAUAAUGGCCCACCAAGACUAUUACAGGUACGGGCUCUGAGAGGAGUAGCCCGGAGAUGGGUACUGAGACACGGACCCAGGCCCUAUGGGGCGCAGCAGGCGAGAAAACUUUGCAAUGUGCGAAAGCACGACAAGGUUAAUCCGAGUGGUUUCUGCUAAAGAAACCUUUUGUCAGUCCUAGAAACACUAACGAAUAAGGGGUGGGCAAGUUCUGGUGUCAGCCGCCGCGGUAAAACCAGCACCUCAAGUGGUCAGGAUGAUUAUUGGGCCUAAAGCAUCCGUAGCCCGUUUUGUAAGUUUUCGGUUAAAUCCAUGCGCUUAACGUAUGGGCUGCCGGGAAUACUGCAUAACUAGGAAGUGGGAGAGGUAGACGGUACUCGGUAGGAAGGGGUAAAAUCCUUUGAUCUAUUGAUGACCACCUGUGGCGAAGGCGGUCUACCAGAACACGUUCGACGGUGAGGGAUGAAAGCUGGGGGAGCAAACCGGAUUAGAUACCCGGGUAGUCCCAGCUGUAAACUAUGCAAACUCAGUGACGCAUUGGCUUGUGGCCAAUGCAGUGCUGCAGGGAAGCCGUUAAGUUUGCCGCCUGGGAAGUACGUACGCAAGUAUGAAACUUAA